Molecule: long non-coding RNA, 1626 nt
Organism: Strigops habroptila (Kakapo)
Lineage: Eukaryota; Metazoa; Chordata; Aves; Psittaciformes; Psittacidae
Source: Ensembl
CAAACCCACAGAUGUGUUUAAUUAAAAAAAAAUAGAUCUUUGGGCUUCACAUGUGGUUGAGUUGGGCACCCUUUGUGGGAUUGGAAAGGUUUCAAGGUGACUGAGGCUGUUCCCUGGCCUCGGGCAUGCCCAUACUUGGGUGCUGGCAUUGGUGCUGGAUGCUGGGAGAGGAUAAAUUCACCAUGCACCAGGGGCAGGUGGGUUCAGCUGCACCAGCCCCACCAGCUCUCCCAGCCCCUUCCACCAACCCGCACUAGCAUUAUUGUGCUGGCUCCUGAUGCUGUGAUCGUGAGCCGGGGGUGCUGGGAUGUUCACCAACACUUUCCUUUUUAAUAGCAGGGAAACCUUUUCCUUCACCCUGAGUCAGCAGAAAGGAUUUCCCUGGGUUUCCCUGUUGUGGCUUUGGCUGCACUCUCUGCCCCAAAGGAGCGGGUGAAAGCCGCCAAUGCCACGCUGCCUUCCUGGGAAGGGCCGGCAUCUCCCUUGUCGCAGGAAAACACGCUUCCAGCAUAGCCCUGCGAGUCUCCAGGGACAAGCUGGAAGGAGAGAUUUGCUUGAACUUCUGUGGUUUGCCUCCUCCUCUUUCGGCGUGAUGCUCGCCAGCUGGCAGCACCACAGUUGCUCUCCUCCUCUUUCUUUCCCACUUUUUUCCUUCCCUUCUUUUUUUCCUCUAUUUGAAGCUUGCCUAAUGGUUUCUCACCACAAACACCACUGGCAGUGCCUGGGAAACAGGUUUGCCAGGAGAGGAGCUGCACUGAGAGCUCAGGAACGUCCUGCAGCAGCACUGUGGGUCCUGUGUCCUGGCCUCUAAGCUGAUGUUGACCACGGAUGGGGGAUUUGCCAGUGCUGGAAAACCUGUGUGCGGUUUGUAGUUCUCCCUGAGCCAGGUAACAGCUGUUUCGUUUAAUAGUCAAGAAAACGGUUGUGUGUCUGAGCACCAGAGCACUAGAUGAGGUGAGAUGAUGCCAGCACUUGCUGUUCCCAACAUCCUGCUGCUGAGGGGUGCCCCGGGACGCUGCUCGUGGGGCUCAGUGAAAGAACAAGCUCUGAGUUAACUUUUUUGGGGUUGCGAGGAUGGGCCAGCGCUGGCUGCUCUGGUAAAGCAGAGGUGCCCGUGCCGCACCGCCGGCGGGGGGUGGUUUGGCUGCACCAGUUCCGCUUUGCAGAGCAAAGCCCCUGGACCGCAAGGCAACACGUAAGCCACAGGAGCGUCCCGAAUGAUUUGCAGCCUCGCACCACGCUGGAGCUGCGUGUCAACUCCCCAAAAGCACUUCCAAGGGAACACAAGCGGUGGCCGCCAGCCGGGGCGCGGGCGCUGGGGUCCAGCCCAGGUGCCCUGCGAGGCACGUGUCGAUCGUGGGCUCUGAGCUCAGUUCCGUUCACCGCGGGCCGUGCCCGGGCAGCUCCCGCGGCAGGUCCCGGCCGGCCGAGGCGCUCGGACCCGCGGCUCUGUCGCGGCGCACGACGCGGAUCCGGCCCCGUGGUCCCGCCGUGUCGGGCGCGUGAGCGGCUGUCGCACAGCGGCGGAUGCGCACCAGGACCCCCGGCCCGGGCGUGCGGGGCGCUGCGGGACGCGGGAGGUGCGGGGCGCGCGAGUGCUCUCGGCUCCGCGGCGUGCGUAGGGCC